GACGAACGCUGGCGGCGUGCUUAACACAUGCAAGUCGAACGGAAAGGCCCUGCUUUUGUGGGGUGCUCGAGUGGCGAACGGUGAGUAACACGUGAGUAACCUGCCCUUGACUUUGGGAUAACUUCAGGAAACUGGGGCUAAUACCGGAUAGGAGCUCCUGCUGCAUGGUGGGGGUUGGAAAGUUUCGGCGGUUGGGGAUGGACUCGCGGCUUAUCAGCUUGUUGGUGGGGUAGUGGCUUACCAAGGCUUUGACGGGUAGCCGGCCUGAGAGGGUGACCGGCCACAUUGGGACUGAGAUACGGGCCCAGACUCCUACGGGAGGCAGCAGUGGGGAAUAUUGCACAAUGGGCGGAAGCCUGAUGCAGCAACGCCGCGUGCGGGAUGACGGCCUCGGUGUAACGACUUCGUCCUCGUGACGAAGCGUGAGUGACGGUAAUGGGU
This 441-nucleotide ribosomal RNA is filed under the name uncultured bacterium. RNAcentral's name for it is "bacterial SSU rRNA". It matches the Rfam family "Bacterial small subunit ribosomal RNA", at positions 28 to 483 of the family's 1533-position model. The record is from RNAcentral.